This 401-nucleotide long non-coding RNA is filed under the name Salmo salar (Atlantic salmon). RNAcentral describes it as "lncRNA (ENSSSAG00000121896.1, ENSSSAG00020047010.1)". The record is from RNAcentral. Lineage: Eukaryota; Metazoa; Chordata; Actinopteri; Salmoniformes; Salmonidae.
CAGAGUGCUAAGAACCUUGGCGUGAUCCUGGACAACACCCUGUCGUUCUCCACUAACAUCAAGGCGGUGACCUGAUCCUGGGCUGAGUCACUGGCUUAUUGGUGUUCUUCCAUGCCGUCCCUAGGAGGGGUGCAUCACUUGAGUGGGUUGAGUCACUGACGUGGUCUUCCUGUCUGGGUUGGCGACCCCCCCCCUUGGGUUCUGCCGUGGUGGAGAUCUUUGUGGGCUAUACUCGGCCUUCUCUCAGGAUGCCCUAGGACCAUGCCUCAGGACUACCUGGCAUGAUGACUCCUUGCUGUCCCCAGUCCACCUGGCCGUGCUGCUGCUCCAGUUUCAACUGUUCUGCCUGUGGUUAUGGAACCCUGACCUGUUCACAGGACAUGCUACCUGUCCCAGACCUG